CCAAACUGUUGCCUCGGCGGGAUCUCUGCCCCGGGUGCGUCGCAGCCCCGGACCAAGGCGCCCGCCGGAGGACCAACCUAAAACUCUUAUUGUAUACCCCCUCGCGGGUUUUUUUUAUAAUCUGAGCCUUCUCGGCGCCUCUCGUAGGCGUUUCGAAAAUGAAUCAAAACUUUCAACAACGGAUCUCUUGGUUCUGGCAUCGAUGAAGAACGCAGCGAAAUGCGAUAAGUAAUGUGAAUUGCAGAAUUCAGUGAAUCAUCGAAUCUUUGAACGCACAUUGCGCCCGCCAGUAUUCUGGCGGGCAUGCCUGUCCGAGCGUCAUUUCAACCCUCGAACCCCUCCGGGGGGUCGGCGUUGGGGAUCGGCCCUCCCUUAGCGGGUGGCCGUCUCCGAAAUACAGUGGCGGUCUCGCCGCAGCCUCUCCUGCGCAGUAGUUUGCACACUCGCAUCGGGAGCGCGGCGCGUCCACAGCCGUUAAACACCCAACUUCUGAAAUGUUGACCUCGGAUCAGGUAGGAAUACCCGCUGAACUUAAGCAUAUCAAUAAGCGGAGGAA
RNAcentral lists this ribosomal RNA (556 nucleotides) under Trichoderma harzianum. RNAcentral's name for it is "eukaryotic LSU rRNA". The stretch from base 168 to 321 matches the Rfam family "5.8S ribosomal RNA". The record is from RNAcentral. Lineage: Eukaryota; Fungi; Ascomycota; Sordariomycetes; Hypocreales; Hypocreaceae.